UGGAUCCAGACUUUGAUCCUGGCUCAGGAUGAACGCUAGCUACAGGCCUAACACAUGCAAGUCGAGGGGCAGCAUGGCGGUCGCUUGCGACCGCCGAUGGCGACCGGCGAAUGGGUGAGUAACGCGUAUCCAACCUGCCCCGCGCCCGGGGAUAGCCCUUGGAAAUGAGGAUUAAGACCCGAUACGUGGCGCCGCCGCAUGGCGGUUCCAUGAAGCAGACGCGGGAUGGGGAUGCGUUGGAUUAGCCAGCCGGCAGGGCAGCGGCCUACCGGGGCGACGAUCCAUAGGGGUUCUGAGAGGAAGGUCCCCCACACUGGCACUGAGACACGGGCCAGACUCCUACGGGAGGCAGCAGUGAGGAAUAUUGGUCAAUGGGCGAGAGCCUGAACCAGCCAAGUAGCGUGCAGGAUGACGGCCCUACGGGUUGUAAACUGCUUUUGCGGGAGAAUAACCGGCGCCACGCGUGGCGCCCUGCAGGUAUCCCGUGAAUAAGGACCGGCUAAUUCCGUGCCAGCAGCCGCGGUAAUACGGAAGGUCCGGGCGUUAUCCGGAUUUAUUGGGUUUAAAGGGAGCGCAGGCGGAGGAUCAAGCCAGCCGUGAAAUGGCGGCGCUCAACGCCGUCCGGCGGUUGGAACUGGUCCCCUUGAUUGCGGGAGAGGAAGGCGGAACUCGUGGUGUAGCGGUGAAAUGCAUAGAUAUCACGAAGAACCCCGAUUGCGAAGGCAGCCUUCCGGCCCGUAAAUGACGCUCAUGCUCGAAGGCGCGGGUAUCAAACAGGAUUAGAUACCCUGGUAGUCCGCGCGGUAAACGAUGAAUGCUCGGGAUUCGGGCUUUAUGUCUGAGUCCCCCAGCGAAAGCGUUAAGCAUUCCACCUGGGGAGUACGCCGGCAACGGUGCAACUCAAAUGAAUUGACGGA
RNAcentral lists this ribosomal RNA (917 nucleotides) under uncultured Bacteroidota bacterium. RNAcentral's name for it is "bacterial SSU rRNA". It matches the Rfam family "Bacterial small subunit ribosomal RNA", at positions 1 to 917 of the family's 1533-position model. The record is from RNAcentral. Lineage: Bacteria; Pseudomonadati; Bacteroidota.